CACGGAGACCCCAAGCGUUGUUCGGAAUUACUGGGCUUAAAGAGGGUGUAGGCGGGACGGCAAGUACCUUGUGAAAGCCCCGGGCUCAACCCGGGAAUGGCUGGGUAUACUGCCGUUCUUGAGGCAGGCAGGGGUCACUGGAACCUUAGGUGGAGCGGUGAAAUGCGUAGAUAUCUAAGGGAACGCCUGUGGCGAAAGCGGGUGACUGGGCCUGUUCUGACGCUGAGACCCGAAAGCGUAGGGAGCGAACGGGAUUAGAUACCCCCGUA
Molecule: ribosomal RNA, 269 nt
Filed under: uncultured prokaryote
Description: partial 16S ribosomal RNA
Rfam family: Bacterial small subunit ribosomal RNA
Source: RNAcentral